This is a long non-coding RNA of Myotis brandtii (Brandt's bat), 2329 nucleotides long. RefSeq lists it as uncharacterized. The record is from RefSeq and is a predicted model, not a curated record. NCBI's taxonomy places the organism in Eukaryota, Metazoa, Chordata, Mammalia, Chiroptera, Vespertilionidae. The transcript has 3 exons.
UCUGACCAGGAAUCAAACCAUGACCUCCUGGCUCAUAGGUUGACACUCAACCACUGAGCCAGGCUGGCCAGACAGCAUAGUCAUCUUUUAAGCUGUGUCAUUAUACUCUUUUCCUUGACAGUGUACUCCUCUGCCUUAUCUUUGGGAGGGCUCAAAAGUAAAAUUGCAUUGCAGCUUUGUACAAAGGAAAAUUUUCCCAGAGAGGUAAAAUAUUAACUUCUGAAUGAUGCACAGGCAAAUACUUUUUUUUUAGUUGAAUGACUGCUUCUUCACUUGAAGUUGCUAAGGCUUUCUGAGCACCUUUGAAGCUGACUUCUGAAAGACCAAAACCAUCUUUAGGUAUUUAACAUGUAUUUGUUUAAUUGGGGUAUUAUCACCUCAUCUGUGAAGUUGAAAGACAAUAGGAUUCUACCUACCUUUAGGUCCUUGGUGUUAAAGACAAACACACACACACACACACACACACACACACACACACAAUCAAAUAACAAAACAUAUAUGAGUCAUCUCUCUUCAGUUUAAUUACUAAACUUUCUAUACUUUGGGUUUCACAAAAUCAGGUCCAGGUCCACUCAUUAUCCAUUUCUUCUGCAAAUUUUCAGAAUUGACUCAACUUAUUUUUUAAUUCUAAUUGGCAUCAUUGUCUUAGAAACACAGCAAUUUCUUAUGAGAGAUUGUGAAAACAACCAUAAACCAACAUUUUUUGGACAGACCUGCAUUUGAGACAUAUACAAAUAUGCAGGGUUUCGUUGGUUUUUUUAAACAAAGCCAUGCACAGGGCAGUGUCUUCAGCAGAUAUUAACAUCAGUCCUCUCUAUAGCCCCUUUGCUGAACUGUGGCAUGCUUGGAGUAUAAGCCGUAUAGCUAUCUGUGAGCCGUUUCCUUCCUGCACUGGGCCACACUGCACCUCCAUCAUCUCUUUUGCCUCCUCACGAGCCAGAUUUUCACUGAGCACAACUUGCUCUGUUGUGGUUAUUUAUAAUAAUUUUAAUAAGAUCAGCCUACAUGUUUAUAUUGGGAAGGCUCACAGAUUAAGAUGUACUUAUUUCCCUUAAUUUAAUUUUCUGUCUCCUUAAACAACUUCUAUAUCCAUGAUACAAAAAAAAAAAAGAAUGGAUUUUGGUUGUAUGAUGACCAAUUUUGUUUUUAGUUGGCCUUUGGGAUAGAAGUUGUUUAAAAGUCUUUGAAAAUCUAAAGGAAUUCCAUUCACUGGGCCCCUUCUUUCACAUACAUAUUUAUCCCCCUCACAUAAACCUGAUUUCCUUCUGUGGCUCUAUCCAGAAAUAGUGUGUGUGCUUUUAAGUGUUUAGUGGUGCUGCCCUUAUCAUAACCUCUUCUCAGAAAUGAGACCAAAUUAGGAAUCCAGGAUUUGGUAGAGUGGCCCUUUAUAGACACUGCUCCUCACCCACCGCCUAAGACAGGUCCUGGAGCCUUGUGUGUGUUCGUGGUUUUCAGUCCUGCACAUAAAUAUCUUGGUGAGGGUUUGGCUCCAUCACUAAUGCAAUUCAGUGACUGGGGAGCCACAAUUGCUGUAAACAUGACUCAAGAGCAGCCUGUUUAAUGUAAUCGUCUGACUCUGAAAUCAGGUGUGCAGAGGGGCCAAAGGUUACAAGUAAAUGAGCUAAAGAGAAAUGGAUGCCAAACUCAGAUCUGGUUCAAACGCACUGAGAACAGUCUUUAUACUUAAGUAGUUUUCGACCCACUUCUUCCCACCCACCCACUUUAAAUUACAGUUAUGGAGUAGAACUUUCUCUAGCCUCCUCCUUGGAAGAGAUUCAGGCAAAGCAUCCAUUCAGUCUGCAGAGUUCCCAGGAACAGCAGAAAACGAGGCCUCGGUCACCAGGAAGACAGACGCAGGGUGUGCGGAUAAUGAAAACCUAUGGCAGGAGGAAUGUACCUGAGGCAAGUAGACCAGAGUGAUGAGACGAAGAAGCAGAUAAAGUGGGAAAGUUACAAACACAGGCGCCAAAAUGCUGAGGCAGAAACCAACACUUCUAGACUUCCAUUGCUUUUAAGUCAUACUCCCAGAUGCCUGGGCUCUGAAACAAGGAGUCAGUUUGACAUUCUCUCCUCUCUACCCACACAAUCAGGUUCUGCUGAUUUUUUCGUAGUUCACCGAGAUUGCUUCCCUCUGUUUCCCUUCCACUAUUUUAGUCUCAAUAGCUCACACCUGGGCACUGGAGACUUCCCCAAGGGCAUGCCUUCUCCCAUCCUUUCACCUGCCGUCUUUCUGUAGGAGUGUUAUCAGGAUCUCAGCUUUGACUGUCUCCUCUUUACCCCUAUCACAGUGGUUCUCAACCUUGGCUGCACAUUAGAAUCACCUGGGAAU